RNAcentral lists this ribosomal RNA (497 nucleotides) under uncultured bacterium. RNAcentral describes it as "partial 16S ribosomal RNA". It matches the Rfam family "Bacterial small subunit ribosomal RNA", at positions 28 to 507 of the family's 1533-position model. The record is from RNAcentral.
GAUGAACGCUGGCGGCGUGCCUAAUACAUGCAAGUCGAGCGAACAGAUGAGGAGCUUGCUCCUCUGACGUUAGCGGCGGACGGGUGAGUAACACGUGGAUAACCUACCUAUAAGACUGGGAUAACUUCGGGAAACCGGAGCUAAUACCGGAUAAUAUAUUGAACCGCAUGGUUCAAUAGUGAAAGACGGUUUUGCUGUCACUUAUAGAUGGAUCCGCGCCGCAUUAGCUAGUUGGUAAGGUAACGGCUUACCAAGGCGACGAUGCGUAGCCGACCUGAGAGGGUGAUCGGCCACACUGGAACUGAGACACGGUCCAGACUCCUACGGGAGGCAGCAGUAGGGAAUCUUCCGCAAUGGGCGAAAGCCUGACGGAGCAACGCAGCGUGAGUGAUGAAGGUCUUCGGAUCGUAAAACUCUGUUAUUAGGGAAGAACAAAUGUGUAAGUAACUAUGCACGUCUUGACGGUACCUAAUCAGAAAGCCACGGCUAACUACGUG